Molecule: long non-coding RNA, 973 nt
Filed under: Homo sapiens (human)
Lineage: Eukaryota; Metazoa; Chordata; Mammalia; Primates; Hominidae
Description: non-protein coding lnc-OSBPL8-1:1
Source: RNAcentral
CACACUGCCCCAGAGAACAAAGGCCCUCUGGGCCAGAAGUGCCCAACCAGAUGAUUCAGCAACAGGACCGAGGGUGCCCGGGGCAAGCGCCAACUCAUGCCAUCACCCUCACAGAUCCCUGGGUUCCAGGCCAUCAAGCUACAAAUGGUCUUACAAAUGGAACCUCAAGUGAGCUCAACUCACGGCUUCUAUCGAGGACUCCUGGAUCAACCUGCUGGUCCCUCGACUAGCCAAAAAAUUCCCCUCUGGAGGACACCACAACUGCAGGGCCCCUUCUUUGCCCCUAAUCAGCAAAAAGUAGCCAGAAUGACCGCUGCCCAGUUCCCAACAGCAGUUGGGGUGUCCUGUCUAGAGCGAGGACUGAGAGGAGGGACCAGCCGGGCUUCCUGGGUCCUGCAGGGGCUCAGAAAGUUGUGAAACUCAUUCAUUUCCUGCAUCAGGACUUCCUUCUGUCCUGGAUGAAUAAUAUUGAAAACAUAUGCUUAAAAUAUUCCUAACACCAGGAUUUGUACAUGUGUUUUCUUCCCCCAAGAAAGCUAUAAACAGUGAAAAUUUUGCUAUAAGCUUCCCUGUGUCCUCUCUCCCUGUCUCCCUUCCCUCUCCCCUGAAACUAAAAGGAAUGUUAACUGACCAUUUCUCUGUGACCAGUGGACCUCAUCUAUGCUCCCAAUUCCAAUUCCUUGUAAACAUACUUUGUAAAGUCCUGUAAAUUCCCGUCUCCUUUGUCAUGCCACUGCAAGGUCAUAAAGUAGAUAAAACCUAAGUUACAAUUCCGAUAUUCCUCAAAAUCUAAGACAUGUCACAAAAUAAUUUACUGCCUUUGUUUCUUGCUCUGGUAACAUCUUCCCUCUGCACGUAUUUCCUGCCUUAAAGAGUUUAAAAGGCAACUGCAUAAUCUAACUCUGGCUACCCGCUGGGGACCCCUUCCAUGCUGUGGAAGCUUUGUACUGUCACUCUGCUCAAUAAAGCCUGC